Molecule: ribosomal RNA, 2533 nt
Filed under: Mesodinium pulex
Lineage: Eukaryota; Ciliophora; Litostomatea; Cyclotrichida; Mesodiniidae
Description: partial Bacterial large subunit ribosomal RNA
Rfam family: Bacterial large subunit ribosomal RNA
Source: RNAcentral
GUUAAGUGACUAAGCGUAUACGGUGGAUGCCUAGGCAGUUAGAGGCGAUGAAGGACGUGUAAGUCUGCGAAAAGCUGUGGUGAGUUGACAAAACGCAUUUAGCCACAGAUGUCCGAAUGGGGAAACCCAGUGCAUUUAUGCACUAUCUGCAACUGAAUACAUAGGUUGUAGAGGCAAACGAGGGGAACUGAAACAUCUAAGUACCCUUAGGAAAAGAAAUCAACCGAGAUUUCCCUAGUAGCGGCGAGCGAACGGGAAUUAGCCCUUAAGCUAAUUGUAAGCCAGUGGAAUGUGUUGGAAAGCACAACGGUACAAGGUGAUAGUCCUGUACACAAAGGCGAACUUUAAGUGAAAUCGAGUAGGUCGGGACACGUGUUAUCUUGACUGAAUAUGGGGGGACCAUCCUCCAAGGCUAAAUACUCCUAACUGACCGAUAGUGAACCAGUACCGUGAGGGAAAGGCGAAAAGAACCCCUGUGAGGGGAGUGAAAUAGAACCUGAAACCGUAUACGUACAAGCAGUGGGAGCAGACUUGUUCUGUGACUGCGUACCUUUUGUAUAAUGGGUCAGCGACUUAUAUUUUGUAGCGAGGUUAACCGAAUAGGGGAGCCGUAGUGAAAGCGAGCGUUAACUGCGCGUCUAGUUGCAAGGUAUAGACCCGAAACCCGGUGAUCUAGCCAUGGGCAGGUUGAAGGUUGAGUAACAUCAACUGGAGGACCGAACCCACUGACGUUGAAAAGUCAGGGGAUGACCUGUGGCUGGGGGUGAAAGGCCAAUCAAACCGGGAGAUAGCUGGUUCUCCCCGAAAGCUAUUUAGGUAGCGCCUCGGACGAACACCAUGGGGGGUAGAGCACUGUUAAGGCUAGGGGGUCAUCCCGACUUACCAACCCUUUGCAAACUCCGAAUACCCAUGAGUGCUAUCCGGGAGACACACGGCGGGUGCUAACGUCCGUCGUGAAGAGGGAAACAACCCAGACCGCCAGCUAAGGUCCCAAAAUAUUGCUAAGUGGGAAACGAUGUGGGAAGGCUAAGACAGCUAGGAGGUUGGCUUAGAAGCAGCCACCCUUUAAAGAAAGCGUAAUAGCUCACUAGUCGAGUCGGCCUGCGCGGAAGAUGUAACGGGGCUAAGCAAUAUACCGAAGCUGCGGAUACGUGUUUACACGUAUGGUAGGGGAGCGUUGUGUAAGUGGUUGAAGGUGAGCUGUGAGGCUUGCUGGACAUAUCACAAGUGCGAAUGCUGACAUGAGUAACGAUAAUGCGGGUGAAAAACCCGCACGCCGGAAGACCAAGGUUUCCUGUCCCAUGCUAAUCAGGGCAGGGUAAGUCGGCCCCUAAGGCGAGGCAGAAAUGCGUAGUCGAUGGGAAACGGAUUAAUAUUUCCGUACUUGGUAUAUCAGUGAAGGGGGGACGGAGAAGGCUAAACAAGCUUGGUGUUGGUUAUCCAAGUGAAAGUGUGUAGGGCGUUGAAUUAGGUAAAUCCGGUUCAACACUAACCUGAGACACGAGACGAGUUUCUAAGGAAACGAAGUUGUUGAUGCCAUGCUUCCAGGAAAAGCCUCUAAACUUAUGAUAUAUCGAACCGUACCCCAAACCGACACAGGUGGUCAGGUAGAGAAUACUAAGGCGCUUGAGAGAACUCGGGUGAAGGAACUCGGCAAAAUUGUACCGUAACUUCGGGAGAAGGUACGCUGCUGUUUGUGAUGGGAUUUACUCCCUAAGCGAAUGGCAGCCGCAGUGACCAGGUGGCUGGGACUGUUUAUUAAAAACACAGCACUGUGCUAAAUCGAAAGAUGACGUAUACGGUGUGACACCUGCCCGGUGCCGGAAGGUUAAUUGAUGGGGUUAGCGUAAGCGAAGCUCUUGAUCGAAGCCCCGGUAAACGGCGGCCGUAACAAUAACGGUCCUAAGGUAGCGAAAUUCCUUGUCGGGUAAGUUCCGACCUGCAUGAAUGGUGUAACGACUUCUCCGCUGUCUCCAACAUACACUUGGUGAAUUUGAAAUACCCGUGAAGAUGCGGGUUUACUACAGCUAGACGGAAAGACCCCGUGCACUUUUACUAUACUUAUAAGUUGUAACGUUUUAGUUUUUGUGUAGGAUAGGUGGGAAUGAAAAUAACAAGUGAAAUACCACUCUUAAACUUUAAUUUUACUAAUUUUUAAGACAUCUUAUAACUGGUAGUUUGACUGGGGCGGUCACCUCCUAAAAAGUAACGGAGGUGUACAAAGGUAGAUUCUAAUAUUAAUUUAUUUUGAGUAUAAUGGCAUUAUAUCUACUUAACUGUAAGAUUAACCAAUCAAGCAGAGAUGAAAGUCGGUCAUAGUGAUCUGGUGAUUCUGUGUGGAAAGAUCAUCACGCAACGAAUAAAAAGUACGCCGGGGAUAACAGGCUAAUAAUUUUUAAGAGUUCAUAUCGAUGAGAUUGUUUGGCACCUCGAUGUCGACUCAUCACAUCCUGGAGCUGAAAAUGGUUCCAAGGGUUCGUCUGUUCGCCGAUUAAAGUGGUACGUGAGUUGGGUUCAGAACGUCGUGAGACAG